GACGAACGCUGGCGGCGUGCUUAACACAUGCAAGUCGAGCGGAGCGGCGAACGGGUGAGUAACGCGUGAGUAACUGCCCCCCUCUCUGGGAUAACAGUUGGAAACGGCUGCUAAUACCGGAUAGUGGGGGAUGACUCGCGUCCUCUCAGCUUGUUGGUGGGGUAGUGGCCUACCAAGGCGACGACGGGUAGCCGGCCUGAGAGGGCGACCGGCCACAGUGGGCACGGGUACCGCCCAGACUCCUACGGCAGGCAGCAAUGGGGAAUAGAGCACAAUAGGGGAAGCCCUGAUGCAGCAACGCCGCGUGCGGGAGGACGGCCUUCGGGUUGUAAACCGCUUUCAGCCAUGACGCGGUAGUGGCAGAAGAAGCAACGGCUAACUACGUGCCAGCCGCCGCGGUAAUAC
RNAcentral lists this ribosomal RNA (405 nucleotides) under uncultured bacterium. RNAcentral's name for it is "partial 16S ribosomal RNA". It matches the Rfam family "Bacterial small subunit ribosomal RNA", at positions 28 to 526 of the family's 1533-position model. The record is from RNAcentral.